ACAAGCAGUAUUAGAAAAUCUAAUACUAGGAAGAGAUAUUUUUCCUUCUUCCCAUCAGGGGCAGUGAGACCUGGCAGUUUAUCCAAGCUUUCUGGGUGAAGAUGCAAACCAAGAUCCAGAUGUCUCUUCCUGUUGAGCGAGGAAAUCAAAGCAGACCACUGUCCAAGUUGCUGUAUGAGCUCUAAGCACAUGUACCUGCUAUGAAGACAGGCUUGACAAGGAGAAAGGAUAUGAUGGUAGUACUGAACCUGGUGUCCUUCCAGUAACAUGGGUAAGCAGAAGGGACUCCUUCUUGUGCAAGCUAUGCUGCAUGAAUUACCUUCUUCAUGGAUCUGUCUCUCCCUUUCUCCUGUAAGAAGGAAAUUGGAUAUUCAUCUUAAAAUAAGAACAGAAAAGAAAAGAUGGACCUUUCCUGGCACCACACGCUUUCUUCCCAGAGCUGUGUUCCAACUGUCGCUGAGUUUAAACCAUAGAAAACUCUGGGAAAU
This is a long non-coding RNA of Passer domesticus (house sparrow), 488 nucleotides long. RefSeq lists it as uncharacterized. The record is from RefSeq and is a predicted model, not a curated record. The transcript has 3 exons. Lineage: Eukaryota; Metazoa; Chordata; Aves; Passeriformes; Passeridae.